CGAUUAUUGCCUUUAAUGAAUGACACUGUAAAAUAUUAACUCUAUUCUGGUUGCUGUAUUUUUAAAGUCUAGGUUACAAGAAAACUUUGUGUAUAAAUUGAUCAUUGCAGGUCUAGAUGCUAAAUAAUACAAAGGAUUUACAAUUCAUGAGUAGGGAAAUGACUUUUUGUGGUCUUAGAAAAUAUUACACUGAAAUACCUAGUACAUGAUAAUGUACACUUAACUCAGAUAAAUGCAGCAAUUUACCAGUUUCUUUCUGUUAGUCUUUUCUUAGAAUUAUGUAAAAAAAAAAAAAAACCAGAUUAAUCUGAAUAGAAAUUCAUGAAAAGUAUGGUUUGAGAAGCAUUCCAAAUGAAUGAGGUAAUUUUUGUUAC
This 374-nucleotide long non-coding RNA is filed under the name Bos taurus (domestic cattle). RNAcentral's name for it is "long non-coding RNA NONBTAT021954". The record is from RNAcentral. Lineage: Eukaryota; Metazoa; Chordata; Mammalia; Artiodactyla; Bovidae.